Molecule: long non-coding RNA, 4751 nt
Organism: Ictalurus punctatus (channel catfish)
Lineage: Eukaryota; Metazoa; Chordata; Actinopteri; Siluriformes; Ictaluridae
Source: Ensembl
CGGUCAGAAAGCGGUUCCAGGUAGAACUCUUGAAGAAAGGGAUCAGAGGGGAGUGGACAGUUGUGGAAAAGGCUGAUCGUUUUUCGUCACUAAAGAACGUGUACUUUUUAUCCGUUUAUAGUUGCUUUAAAUGAGUAUAAAACCAAUCAACACCUGACGGAUCAGAACGCAGAACCUUCCAGCGCAGUUCAUCAUUUCAUAACAAACAGCCAUUUUGGAUUUUCUAUAAUAAAAAAAAAUAAAAAAUCAAAGUGAAUGAAAUUCCGGCUUCUCUAACUAACGCAUCGUUAAAUUCUGAAAUAAAACUCAUUAACGUCUCCCGAGAGCGUUUUUAUUUUCUUGUGUUUCUGCUGGGUUUUGUUAUUGUUGUUGUUGUUGUUGUUGUUGUCGGUGGUUAUUAUUUUUAGCGAAGCUGCUGAGCUGAACUGAUGCAACUGGGUGCAAAUCCCUGAAGCCCUGAUGACCGCUUUUUGAGGGUGUUCAUGUCUCCAGAUGGCUGAGUGUGAUGGGUCCUGACAAGACCGACCUCCAAACACACACACACACAUCUCUCUCUCUUUCUUUUUUUUUUAGAACCCUUAAGGAUGAUUCGUGUUGUCCCUCUGCGGGAACUGUGAAAGAUUCUGUGUAAAACCCUACAAGAGAGUUCCAUUAGAAAAGGUUCCACGUAGAAAUGCUUAGGAGACUAUGAACCCUUCAAUUAUCCAGUGAACCCAUAAACACCCUUUCUUCUAACAUUCUUAAGGCUCGUCUCUCCUGGGGGAACUCCUACGUAGAACGCUACAACAAAUGGUUCAAACCUUUUAGGAGACUAAAACCCCCUUGAUUAUCCACAGAACCUCUAAGGAACCGGUGAAGAACCUAUUCUAUUCGCGUCGUCCCUGCUAUGAGAACCGUUCAAGCUUCUAUGUAGAACCCUACAACGGAGUGUGCUUCGUCCAUUAGAAAAGGUUCCACAGAGAACUGCUUGAGGAAACUAUGAACCAUUAAAUGAUCCACGAUUCUUAAGAGUUCUUCGGGUGUCUCUCUUCGGGGAACCCGUAAAGAUUCUACAUAGAGCAACAAAUGGUUCAAACAUUUUAGGAGGCUAACCCUACAAGACAGAGUGUCUUUCCGUAAUAGAAAUGGUUCCACAUAGAACAGUUUUUUUUUUUUUUUGGAAGCUAAAAAUCCUUACCUGUCUAACACACCCUUGAAGAACACUUGUUUAGUAGAACCUUUACAUUGCCUUUGCGGUCCCUCUUGGGGGAACCCUUUAAGAUUCCAUAUAGAACCCUACAGCAAAGUGUUUAGAACCCUUCAGGGUUGUUCGGUUGUCUUUCUUUUGGGAAACCCGUAAAGAUUCUAUGUAGAACUCUACAAAAAAAAACGUGUUUUUCGACAAGAAACGGUUCCAGGUCGAAACCGUUUUGGAGGCCAAGAACACUUAAUUAUCCUCAGAACCUCUGAAGAACUCUUGAAGAACCAUUUUUACCAAGAUACAAACAUGGCAGAGUGCCAAAAAAAUGCAAUUUAGCAGUGGGGUUUUUAUAUAAACAAUAUAAAAUAGGCGUAUUUAACGCUUUGUUAAGCUCCGCCCCCUGGGUUACUCCUACAUACAGAGACGUUAAUAUCUUGGUCGUUUUUUGGAGCAAAGUACCCAAAAUUUUUGCAAGGAUGUCAUGGAUGGAACUGUUGAUGGAAACAUACUAGAUAUUCUUUAUUGAUUUAUUUAUGGAAAGAUCGAAACUCCAGCUAGCUACGCUCCUGGACAAUUUCCGUACUCUUAACGACUCUACGUAGAACCCUCCAAAUAAGUGUUUGGAAGCAAAGAACCCUUAAAGAACCCUUGAAGAACCUUUUCCAAGAGUAAACCCAGUAAUCAUCAUCAUCAUCAUCAUCAUCAUCAUCAUCAUCAGGAUGAACUGGCUGAGUGUACGUGCACAGAUCACACGCACAGCAGAUUUGCCAACGAUUAAACUUUUUUAUUUGUUAAAGAACUUCACGCCAUAGUUUCUAUCCAUUUAGAGUUACCUUUAAGGUUGUGGAACAUCCCUGGUUUUGUUCAUCGUCUUUUAUUACCGAGAAACCGCAAAAGAAGCACAAACUCCUCCGUCCUAGAAGUUCUAGAUUUACGUCGGACACUGGAGACUCCUUCCGUGAAUGUUAAACAAACAUGUUACUAUAGAAACGAUAACGUUUUAGAACAAGCGCAUUCACGGGAUAAAGAAAAAAAGCUUAAAAUAGUCAUCUUCUGUGGAGAAAAUCCCUUUUCCUAAAAAGUGUCCAAAGUUUAGAAAGAUUCAAUCCAGAAUUGGUGACGUUCUCCAUCAUGGAAAGAAAAGAAGAAAAAAAAAACAAGUUCUUCAUCUUCCUCUCUCUCUCCGUCCUCUCCAUUUAAAAAAAAAAAAAAAAAAAAGGACAUUUGUUUUCCGGAAAGAUGGGAAUGUACAGAUCUGACCCGAGUGAUCCGUGCUUCAGUGCGCAGUAAAAGUCCACACUCGGAUCCAGAGAAGCUUCUGGAAAAAUCCAGGCGUGAUCCAUUAAGAUCUGUAAAAUAUUCCAGCUCUGGUAUACAAACUGAAUCAGAGCUUUCCGUAUCAGACACGAUCCCGGAUUCUCCACCGAAGCCACCGAUCCGAGUGGAGGCACUUUACGACACCAUCCUUUUAACUCGACACGUCUACAAAUUCCCAGUAUAUCCACUCGGAUCAGAUCCGAGCCAGUCCGGAGUUCUCCGGUUCUCCGUCCAGCGUCCAGGCGAGAGAGAGCGAGCUGAAAUAAAAAGAGAACGACGCCGGUGCUGCAGCGUGCUCGGAUUCCGAGUCUCCUGCUCCUCGGGAUUUCCCGGGAUCGGUGAGGAGAAGAUCUGCCGCGUCGCCCGCGGAGCAGAGAGGAGACCGAUCCCGAGCGUGUUGUCCGUUCCCCGUCACGCCGGAGUUAGACGAGAAGGUGAGCCGGGAUCGGACGGACGGAUGGAACGUGCUGUUCCUCUCACGUGAGCUGGAUGGCAGCAGUACGACUCGGAACGACAGAGGCGGGAGACGCUUUGUCUGUGAGGACGAGAGAGGGGAAUGCAAAGGAAUGUCAGAUCAAAUCUUUUAUUUAAAGGAUCUGAUCGGUGCGCGGAAUACGUCCUACUCAACACACACACGUUCUGCACAAUACGUCCUACUCAACACACACACGUUCUGCACAAUACGUCCUACUCAACACACACACGUUCUGCACCUGGGUUUAUUAAAUAUACAGCAUACACAUGUACAUUACUCAUAUCACAGAUAAACCAUCACUCUCUCUCUCUCUCUCUCUCUCUCUCUCUCUCUCUCUCUCUCGUAGACCUUGUUUUUCUUCUCCUUUGGUUUCUGCUUCUUCUCUUUCUCCACUUCCUUUCAGUCUCCUUUUCUUCUUCUAAUCACAAUUUCUUAUUCACUCAUUCUUUCUCUCUCUUAUUUUUAGUUUACAGCCUUCUUUCUUUCUUUCUCUCUCUCUCUUUCUCUUUCCGUCAUGCUCUUUUUUCUCGCUUUUCUUUUUGUUUCUCUUCAUUUGUAAUCAUUUAUUUUCUUUUUUAUAACCACAUUCUUUUGCUUUUCAGCUUUCAAUCUAUUUUUUUUUCUUUCUUCUUACCACGCCUUCUUGUGUUUUUUUUUUCCCUUCCUUCCUUCCUUCCUUCUUUCUUGUUAAUAAAGAGCAGAUGAUUUGCUGCUGCUUGAUUGUAAAGCGUCCAAAGUCAAACAUUUUUAAAUGGACGUUUGAGGUUUUUUUUUUUUUUUAUAAACACAGCAACACGUUUUUAAUGACAUUCAGGUUUUUUUCCUUUCUUUUUUUGUUUGAUACUCCUCUCUUUCUUUCCUUUAUGUCUGUGUCUUUGUUUUAAUUUUCCCACUCUUCCUUGUUUGUUUUUUUCACUUUAACUCCUGAACUCUUUUUUCUCUGACUCAUGAAAAACACAUUUAGUUAUUAGUUUUAAAUUAAAAUGCAUUUUUAAACAAACAUAAUAAAAAUAAAUAAAAAAAAACAGGCUACAGCUUCAGCAACGUGAAUAGCAAUAUGUAUUUCACUUCAUUGAAAUUAUAAUUUUUUUUAAUGAAAUUAAAAUAAUUUAAAAAAUCAUUUUUUAAAGAGAAAAAGAAUAUAAAACACGAAACAGCCAAAAAAAAAAAAAGAAAAAAGAAGGAAAUAGCAGCAGGCAAGAGAUGGCCAAUUAGGUCUGCCAAGUUACCAUGGCAACCAGGACAGACUCAACAAAUGUUGAGUGCUGAGUGUGUGACACACACACACACACACACACACACACUCAUUAGCAUAUCAGCUACACUGUAUUUGUCUCAUUUUAUCUAUGAAGCAAUCAAAUAAAAAAUGUGUACAGGUAGUGUGUAUUGUGUGUAUUGUGUAGUGUGUGGUGUGUGGUGUGUAGUGUGUAAUGUGUAGUGUAGUGUAGUGUGUAGUGUGUGGUGUGUGGUGUGUAUUGUGUGUAGUGUUGUGUGUAGUGUGUAUUGUGUAGUGUGUGUUGUGUGCUGUGUAGUGUGUGCUGUGUAGUGUGUAGUGUGUGUUGUGUAGUGUGUGCUUGUGUAGUGUGUGUUGUGUAUUGUGUAGUGUGUGCUGUGUAGUGUGUAUUGUGUAGUGUGUGUGUGUGUGGUGUGUAGUGUGUAUUGUGUAGUGUGUGUUGUGUGGUGUGUAUUGUGUGGUGUGUAUUGUGUAGUGUGUGUUGUGUGGUGUGUAGUGUGUGUUGUGUAGUGUGUAUUGUGUAGUGUGUGUGUGUGUGUGUGUGU